UACAACAUGAUUCAAAAACGAUGCAUUGCUUUGGUGUGGGGGGCACCUUUAAUGAUCCGGCCAGCCUGUGUCAUUGCAGUGGAUUCGGACCUCACAUGAGCUGCUUCAUAGAACUUGCUUGCUAUGUCACCUCCAGACUCCAGGCAUAUGCAGGAGUUCAGCGCAGCUGUCAUCGACGAAAUUAUAUGGUGGAAGCUUGUAUUGUGGGACAGCAGUGAUCCUUUUGGGACCUCUCCAAAUUUAGAAGACACCAUGGUUAGAGCAGACAUUCCAUCAACUAGCUUCGCUAUCAGUGGUUGUGGACAACGGGAAAUGAGGGAUGCUGCUCCAGCAAUGACAUCAUUGUCAGGUAAAGGUUCUAAAAAAAGUUCAUGCCUCAGUGUUUUAAUUGUUACCUAAUGUGAAGAUGUGUUUUAUUAGUAUUUGGCAGUGGUGGGCCGUCAGGGCCAGCAAAGCCUUCUCUGUCUCUGUCUAAGUCAGAAUCACUGAUUUAGUUUAAUAUAUUUUUCCAUGAAUGUGUAUCUUUAUUUGUUAAUGGUUGGCAAAUUAAAGUUGUUAAAAACUGACGAAUGAGGUUUCUGUCUUUAUAUUUACCUGGGUUCGGAGCCUAUGCCAGGCCUGCUGUUUGCUUGUGCAUGCAAGGGCAGCUGGAACAUUUUUGGUUCCAAUUGUACUAAAAUGUGCUGUCUGGUAAAGUAACCAGAUGGUUGC
RNAcentral lists this long non-coding RNA (711 nucleotides) under Sinocyclocheilus anshuiensis. RNAcentral's name for it is "lncRNA (ENSSANG00000041482.1)". Lineage: Eukaryota; Metazoa; Chordata; Actinopteri; Cypriniformes; Cyprinidae. The record is from RNAcentral.